This 73-nucleotide transfer RNA is filed under the name Indirana semipalmata. RNAcentral describes it as "tRNA-Leu". It matches the Rfam family "tRNA". From Rfam's summary of the family: Transfer RNA (tRNA) molecules are approximately 80 nucleotides in length. The record is from RNAcentral. Lineage: Eukaryota; Metazoa; Chordata; Amphibia; Anura; Ranixalidae.
GUUAACGUAACAGAACCUGGCCAUGUAGAAGACCUAAGCCCUUUUUCUAGGGGUUCAAAUCCCCUCGUUAACU